CAGAAACUCAAGCAGAGAUAGGCUGUCCAGCUCCUCCAGUAAGGCAGGCUCUCACCCGGUGGAGGGCUGGGUGGAGUUGCUGACUGAACCAGACUCUCAGAAGACAGAAAGCAAAAAUGAGAAAGGCACUUACAGAUGGAAUUUAAAGCUGGUGAGCAAUUCCAGAUGUAACCACCUUCAAAAGGCGCUGGGAAUACCGCAGCCCCCUCAGCCCCA
Molecule: long non-coding RNA, 216 nt
Filed under: Gallus gallus (chicken)
Lineage: Eukaryota; Metazoa; Chordata; Aves; Galliformes; Phasianidae
Source: RNAcentral